CCGCUAUUGGAGUUCGAUUAAGCCAUGCGAGUCGAGAGUCUUAGGGGCUCGGCGUACCGCUCAGUAACACGUGGGUAACCUGCCCUAUGCUGGGGAAUAACCUCGGGAAACUGAGAAUAAUGCCCCAUAGUCCACAAUGCCUGGAACGGUUUGUGGAUCAAAGCUCCGGCGGCAUAGGAUGGGCCUGCGGCGUAUCAGGUUGUAGGGGGUGUAACGUACCCUCUAGCCAUCAACGCGUACGGGUGUUGGGAGACAUAGCCCGGAGAUGGAUUCUGAGACACGAAUCCAGACCCUACGGGGUGCAGCAGGCGCGAAAACUUGGCAAUGCGAGAAAUCGUGACCAGGGAACUCCAAGUGGCUGGGGUAAGACCCAGUCUUUUCUUGACUCUUCAAAGGUCUUGGAAUAAGGGGUGGGUARGACGGUGCCAGCCGCCGCGGUAAUACCGGCGCCUUCAAGUGGUAGUCGAUUUUAUUGGGCCUAAAACGUCCGUAGCCUGUUUGGUACAUUCGUGGGUAAAUCAACCAGCUCAACUGGUUGAAUUCUGCGAGCACGGCCAGACUUGGGACCGGGAGAGGUGUGGGGUACGCUCAGGGUAGGGGUAAAAUCCUGUCAUCCUGAGCGGACCACCUGUUGCGAAGGCGCCACACUAGAACGGAUCCGACGGUCAGGGACGAAGCCUAGGGGCACGAACCGGAUUAGAUACCCGGGUAGUCCUAGGUGUAAACGCUGUGGACUUGGUGUUGGGGACUCUCCGAGAAUCCUCAGUGCCGAAGCGAAGGUGAUAAGUCCACUGCCUGGGGAGUACGGUCGCAAGGCUGAAACUUAAAGGAAUUGGCGGGGGAGCACCGCAACCUGAGGAUUGUGCGG
This 868-nucleotide ribosomal RNA is filed under the name uncultured archaeon. Its description in RNAcentral is "bacterial SSU rRNA". It matches the Rfam family "Archaeal small subunit ribosomal RNA", at positions 27 to 900 of the family's 1478-position model. The record is from RNAcentral.